GGCGUGCCUAACACAUGCAAGUCGAACGGUAACAGGUCUUCGGAUGCUGACGAGUGGCGCACGGGUGAGUAACGCGUGGAUAUCUGCCUAUUAGUGGGGGACAACUUGUGGAAACGCAAGCUAAUACCGCAUAAUCCCUACGGGGGAAAGCAGGGGACCUUCGGGCCUUGUGCUGAUAGAUGAGUCCGCGUCUGAUUAGCUAGUUGGUAGGGUAAAGGCCUACCAAGGCGAUGAUCAGUAUCUGGUUUGAGAGGAUGAUCAGACACACUGGAACUGAGACACGGUCCAGACUUCUACGGAAGGCAGCAGUGGGGAAUAUUGCACAAUGGGCGCAAGCCUGAUGCAGCGACGCCGCGUGUGGGAAGAAGGCUUUAGGGUUGUAAACCACUUUCAAUUGGGAAGAAGAGAUGAGAGUUAAUAACUUUCUGAUUUGACGGUACCUUUAGAAGAAGCACCGGCUAAUUUCGUGCCAGCAGCCGCGGUAAUACGAAAGGUGCAAGCGUUGUUCGGAUUUACUGGGCGUAAAGAGAGUGUAGGUUGUUUAUUAAGUCGGAUGUGAAAUCCCGGGGCUCAACCUCGGAACUGCAUUCGAUACUGGUAGACUAGAGUUCGGGAGGGGUAAGCGGAAUUCCGUGUGUAGCAGUGAAAUGCGUAGAUAUACGGAGGAACACCUGAGGCGAAGGCGGCUUACUGGACCGAUACUGACACUGAGACUCGAAAGCGUGGGUAGCAAACAGGAUUAGAUACCCUGGUAGUCCACGCCCUAAACGAUGUCAACUAGCCGUUGCGGGUAUCGACCCCUGCAGUGGCGAAGCUAACGCGAUAAGUUGACCGCCUGGGGAGUAC
RNAcentral lists this ribosomal RNA (846 nucleotides) under uncultured bacterium. Its description in RNAcentral is "bacterial SSU rRNA". It matches the Rfam family "Bacterial small subunit ribosomal RNA", at positions 41 to 883 of the family's 1533-position model. The record is from RNAcentral.